ACGAACGCUGGCGGCGUGCUUAACACAUGUAAGUCGCACGGAAAGGCCCUGCUUUUGUGGGGUGCUCGAGUGGCGAACGGGUGAGUAACACGUGAGUAACCUGCCCUUGACUUUGGGAUAACUUCAUGAAACUGGGGCUAAUACCGGAUAGGAGCUCCUGCUGCAUGGUGGGGGUUGGAAAGUUUCGGCGGUUGGGGAUGGACUCGCGGCUUAUCAGCUUGUUGGUGGGGUAGUGGCUUACCAAGGCUUUGACGGGUAGCCGGCCUGAGAGGGUGACCGGCCACAUUGGGACUGAGAUACGGCCCAGACUCCUACGGGAGGCAGCAGUGGGGAAUAUUGCACAAUGGGCGGAAGCCUGAUGCAGCAACGCCGCGUGCGGGAUGACGGCCUUCGGGUUGUAAACCGCUUUCGCCUGUGACGAAGCGUGAGUGACGGUAAUGGGUAAAGAAGCACCGGCUAACUACGUG
Molecule: ribosomal RNA, 467 nt
Filed under: uncultured bacterium
Lineage: Bacteria
Description: partial 16S ribosomal RNA
Rfam family: Bacterial small subunit ribosomal RNA
Source: RNAcentral